GGGUCGGUAGAGCAGCGGACUUUUAAUCCGUUGGUCGAAGGUUCGAAUCCUUCACGACCCACCA
This 64-nucleotide transfer RNA is filed under the name Aggregatibacter actinomycetemcomitans. RNAcentral's name for it is "tRNA-Lys". It matches the Rfam family "tRNA". Rfam says of the family: Transfer RNA (tRNA) molecules are approximately 80 nucleotides in length. Their secondary structure includes four short double-helical elements and three loops (D, anti-codon, and T loops). The record is from RNAcentral. Lineage: Bacteria; Pseudomonadati; Pseudomonadota; Gammaproteobacteria; Pasteurellales; Pasteurellaceae.